Molecule: long non-coding RNA, 610 nt
Organism: Pyrus x bretschneideri (Chinese white pear)
Lineage: Eukaryota; Viridiplantae; Streptophyta; Magnoliopsida; Rosales; Rosaceae
Exons: 3
Source: RefSeq, a predicted model, not a curated record
UCUUAUAACCUUUCGUGGAUUUUGCUGUUUUUCACUACGUUUUGAUUCAUCUACUUCUCAUAGAAUUUGUGAAUUUUGACUGUUAUUGAAAUCUUAAAACUUAUAUCUGUCUGCUUUAUCACCAUCUCUAGGUUGUCAGAGAUAAGAGGACUGGAAAAACCAAGGGCUUUGGAUUUGUUAGCUUUGCCAACCCAUCUGACCUGGCCGGAGCACUAAAGGAAAUGAAUGGUAAGUAUGUGGGCAAUCGGCCAAUCAAACUACGCAAGAGUAACUGGAGGGAGAGGAUAGACUAUGACGCACUAGAAAGACAAAAGAACCACACUCACAAGAAACCAAAGCCUUCGAAGAAGAGCAUAUUGCACAAGUGAGCUAGAGACUCGUGGGCGACGUCGUGAAUAUGGAAAUUGGGGCAGUGAAGCUUAAUGAUGAUAAUUUGAACGAAUGAUAGUAUGCGACGUGCAUUUUUUUUCGUGUGUUAUACGGGGAUUAGUGGAGGAUCCUUUUAAAUACUAAUUAAAUAGGUUCGAUCAAGUAUAUUGAAAUGUGGUUCAGCGUGUUUGGGACAUGGUUCGGUACAACAAAUGCCUAAUACAAGUGGUUAGAUUCUUUA